RNAcentral lists this ribosomal RNA (484 nucleotides) under uncultured bacterium. Its description in RNAcentral is "partial 16S ribosomal RNA". It matches the Rfam family "Bacterial small subunit ribosomal RNA", at positions 29 to 523 of the family's 1533-position model. The record is from RNAcentral.
AGUGAACGCUGGCGGCGUGCUUAACACAUGCAAGUCGAACGAGAACGGAUUAUAGCUUGCUAUAAUUGUCAGCUAAGUGGCGCACGGGUGAGUAAUGUAUAGGUAAUAUGCCUUUUACUAAGGAAUAACAAAUGGAAACGUUUGCUAAUACCUUAUACUCCUUAUUGACCUAAGUUAAUAAGGGAAAGAUUUAUUGGUAAGAGAUUAGCCUGUAUUGUAUCAGUUAGUUGGUGGGGUAAUGGCUUACCAAGACUAUGACACAUAACUGGUUUGAGAGGAUGAUCAGUCACACUGGCACUGAGACACGGUCCAGACUCCUACGGGAGGCAGCAGUGGGGAAUAUUGCACAAUGGACGAAAGUCUGAUGCAGCAACGCCGCGUGGAGGAUGACACAUUUCGGUGCGUAAACUCCUUUUAUAUGAGAAGAUAAUGACGGUAUUAUAUGAAUAAGCACCGGCUAACUCCGUGCCAGCCGCCGCCGUAA